AAAUAAAUGAAUGCUGAUGUUUAAGCACGUGAUUAAUCCAAGUUGAUGCUCUCAAUCAGACUCAAAGGAAUCAGAUCCUUGCAGAGGAAGGAGGAUUUCCUGCCCUGAGCCAGCUUGACAGGGGAGGGCUCUGGGUGCACAAGGGGUUUUUAUUUUGAUAAGUCUAAGCUUCUGCAGCAAAACCACUUCAAUUAGGGGAUGUCAGCAUGCAUGUCAAAUCAGCUCCCUCUUGAACUUCCAGGUGGAUAGGAUGUUCUGUAUGGUGCUAGGAAAAAGGAGAUUCUGGAAUGAAACAAACUCCUGAAAAUCCUCUUGUGCUAUAAGAAUGGUCAAUUUUUACAGCUUUUUAAUUUCUCUCUGUAAUUUUAAGCUUUAUCCAAUAACCCUCUUAUAGAA
This is a long non-coding RNA of Passer domesticus (house sparrow), 396 nucleotides long. RefSeq lists it as uncharacterized. The transcript has 3 exons. NCBI's taxonomy places the organism in Eukaryota, Metazoa, Chordata, Aves, Passeriformes, Passeridae. The record is from RefSeq and is a predicted model, not a curated record.